RNAcentral lists this ribosomal RNA (450 nucleotides) under uncultured bacterium. RNAcentral describes it as "bacterial SSU rRNA". It matches the Rfam family "Bacterial small subunit ribosomal RNA", at positions 354 to 796 of the family's 1533-position model. The record is from RNAcentral.
GUAGGGAAUCUUCCGCAAUGGACGAAAGUCUGACGGAGCAACGCCGCGUGAGCGAAGAAGGCCUUCGGGUCGUAAAGCUCUGUUGUUAGGGAAGAACAAGUAACGCAGUAACUGGCGUUACCGUGACGGUACCUAACGAGAAAGCCACGGCUAACUACGUGCCAGCAGCCGCGGUAAUACGUAGGUGGCAAGCGUUGUCCGGAAUUAUUGGGCGUAAAGCGCGCGCAGGCGGUUCCUUAAGUCUGAUGUGAAAGCCCACGGCUCAACCGUGGAGGGUCAUUGGAAACUGGGGGACUUGAGUGCAGAAGAGGAGAGCGGAAUUCCACGUGUAGCGGUGAAAUGCGUAGAGAUGUGGAGGAACACCAGUGGCGAAGGCGGCUCUCUGGUCUGUAACUGACGCUGAGGCGCGAAAGCGUGGGGAGCAAACAGGAUUAGAAACCCUAGUAGUCC